RNAcentral lists this long non-coding RNA (646 nucleotides) under Marmota monax (woodchuck). The record is from RNAcentral. Lineage: Eukaryota; Metazoa; Chordata; Mammalia; Rodentia; Sciuridae.
GGAACGCCGAGCGCAGGCUGCAACGCGGCAGAGAACCGCGGCGCCUGGCUUCCGGCUUCGGAGCCAGCGAGCGCUGGUGGGGGUGAGGUUCCCCUGCCAGGUCCCCCUGGGAGGUCCCCCCCUGCAAGGUCCCCCUGCAAAGUCCCCCUGCAAGGUCCCCUUGGAAAGUCCCCCUAUAAGGUCCCCCUGCAAGGCCCCCCCUAAGGUCCCCCAGUGAGAUCCCCCUGUGAGACCCACCCCCACAAGGUCCCCUGCAAAGUCCCCCUGCGAGGUCCCCCUGCAAAGCCUCACGCCUUCCUUUGCCCUCUCAUCCCUGCUCUGCUGGGUCCCCGUACAUCUCUCCGUCCCUGUCCCCACGAUGUCCCUGUGCAGCUUUGCAAGGCAGCGACCUAGCGAGGGCACCUUAGGACGCCCGCCUCACCAGCCCGCCUCCAGUUUCCCGGGAGGAACCGCUGCCCACCUGUGUCCUUGGCGCCCCGGGAUCUCUGGGGGCGCCUCGAAAAUGCACCCAGCAGUUUGGGGAGGCCGAGGACCUGUCCCGCGAGCUUUGUUCCCGGGAAGACCCUGUUCUCCCGAGUUCCCACCCCGGGGACACCGACGGCUGGGCUUUGUUUGCGGAUUCCGGGGAGGAGGAGCCCAGGGCGCU